GACGAACGCUGGCGGCGUGCUUAACACAUGCAAGUCGAACGGAAAGGCCCUGCUUUUGUGGGGUGCUCGAGUGGCGAACGGGUGAGUAACACGUGAGUAACCUGCCCUUGACUUUGGGAUAACUUCAGGAAACUGGGGCUAAUACCGGAUAGGAGCUCCUGCUGCAUGGUGGGGGUUGGAAAGUUUCGGCGGUUGGGGAUGGACUCGCGGCUUAUCAGCUUGUUGGUGGGGUAGUGGCUUACCAAGGCUUUGACGGGUAGCCGGCCUGAGAGGGUGACCGGCCACAUUGGGCCUGAGAUACGGACCAGACUCCUACGGGAGGCAGCAGUGGGGAAUAUUGCACAAUGGGGGGAAGCCUGAUGCAGCAACGCUGCGUGCGGGAUGACGGCCUUCGGGUUGUAAACCGCUUUCGCAUGUGACGAAGCGUGAGUGACGGUAAUGGGUAAAGAAGCACCGGCUAACUACGUG
RNAcentral lists this ribosomal RNA (468 nucleotides) under uncultured bacterium. RNAcentral's name for it is "partial 16S ribosomal RNA". It matches the Rfam family "Bacterial small subunit ribosomal RNA", at positions 28 to 507 of the family's 1533-position model. The record is from RNAcentral.